RNAcentral lists this ribosomal RNA (390 nucleotides) under uncultured bacterium. RNAcentral's name for it is "bacterial SSU rRNA". It matches the Rfam family "Bacterial small subunit ribosomal RNA", at positions 28 to 419 of the family's 1533-position model. The record is from RNAcentral.
GACGAACGCUGGCGGCGUGCUUAACACAUGCAAGUCGAGCGGUAAGGCCCUUUCGGGGGUACACGAGCGGCGAACGGGUGAGUAACACGUGGGUGACCUGCCCUCAGCUCUGGGAUAAGCCCGGGAAACUGGGUCUAAUACCGGAUAUGACUCCAUGACGCAUGUUGUGGGGUGGAAAGCCUUGUGCGGCUGAGGAUGGGCCCGCGGCCUAUCAGCUUGUUGGUGGGGUGAUGGCCUACCAAGGCGACGACGGGUAGCCGGCCUGAGAGGGCGACCGGCCACACUGGGACUGAGAUACGGCCCAGACUCCUACGGGAGGCAGCAGUGGGGAAUCUUGCGCAAUGGGCGAAAGCCUGACGCAGCGACGCCGCGUGAGGGAUGACGGCCUGU